RNAcentral lists this ribosomal RNA (434 nucleotides) under uncultured Lachnospiraceae bacterium. RNAcentral describes it as "partial 16S ribosomal RNA". It matches the Rfam family "Bacterial small subunit ribosomal RNA", at positions 341 to 792 of the family's 1533-position model. The record is from RNAcentral. Lineage: Bacteria; Bacillati; Bacillota; Clostridia; Lachnospirales; Lachnospiraceae.
ACGGGAGGCAGCAGUUUGGACUAUUGCACAAUGGGGGAAACCCUGAUGCAGCGACGCCGCGUGAGUGAUGAAGUAUUUCGGUAUGUAAAGCUCUAUCAGCAGGGAAGAUAAUGACGGUACCUGACUAAGAAGCCCCGGCUAACUACGUGCCAGCAGCCGCGGUAAUACGUAGGGGGCAAGCGUUAUCCGGAUUUACUGGGUGUAAAGGGAGCGUAGACGGCUUAGCAAGUCUGAAGUGAAAGGCAUGGGCUCAACCUGUGGACUGCUUUGGAAACUGUUGAGCUAGAGUACCGGAGGGGUAAGCGGAAUUCCUAGUGUAGCGGUGAAAUGCGUAGAUAUUAGGAGGAACACCGGUGGCGAAGGCGGCUUACUGGACGGCAACUGACGUUGAGGCUCGAAGGCGUGGGGAGCAAACAGGAUUAGAUACCCUGGUA